Molecule: ribosomal RNA, 1777 nt
Filed under: Meloidogyne arenaria
Lineage: Eukaryota; Metazoa; Nematoda; Chromadorea; Rhabditida; Meloidogynidae
Description: SSU rRNA
Rfam family: Eukaryotic small subunit ribosomal RNA
Source: RNAcentral
UCUGGUUGAUCCUGCCUGAACUGAUGUGUUCAUUUCAAAGAUUAAGCCAUGCAUGUAUAAGUUUAAUCGUUUUAACGAGAAACCGCGAACGGCUCAUUACAAUGGCCAUGAUUUACUUGAUCUUGAUUAUCUAAAUGGAUAACUGUGGAAAAGCUAGAGCUAAUACAUGCACCAAAGCUUUGUCCUCUCGGAAAAGCGCAUUUAUUAGAACAAAACCACGCGGCUUCGGCUGCUUCUUGUUGACUCAGAAUAACUAAGCUGACCGCAUGGCCUUGUGCCGGCGGCGUGUCUUUCAAGCGUCCACUUUAUCAACUUGACGGGAGCAUAAUCGACUCCCGUGGUGGUGACGGAUAACGGAGGAUCAGGGUUCGACUCCGGAGAAGGGGCCUGAGAAAUGGCCACUACGUCUAAGGAUGGCAGCAGGCGCGCAAAUUACCCACUCUCGGCUCGAGGAGGUAGUGACGAGAAAUAACGAGACCGUUCUCUUUGAGGCCGGUCAUCGGAAUGGGUACAAUUUAAACCCUUUAACGAGUAUCAAGCAGAGGGCAAGUCUGGUGCCAGCAGCCGCGGUAAUUCCAGCUCUGCUAAUACAUAGAAUUAUUGCUGCGGUUAAAAAGCUCGUAGUUGGAUUCGUAUCGGUACCCUGGAACCCUCCGGGUGUUUCUGGGUGUUAUCGAUUUAUCGUAAUGUUCGGUUUUGAGUCCUUAACAGGAUUCUUAACAGGCAUUGCAAGUUUACUUUGAACAAAUCAGAGUGCUUCAAACAGGCGUUUUCGCUUGAAUGAUCGUGCAUGGAAUAAUAGAAAACGAUUUCGGUUCAGUUUUAUUGGUUUUACGGACUGAGAUAAUGGUUAACAGAGACAAACGGGGGCAUUUGUAUGGCCCCGUGAGAGGUGAAAUUCUUGGACCGUGGCCAGACAAACUACAGCGAAAGCAUUUGCCAAGAAUGUCUUCAUUAAUCAAGAACGAAAGUCAGAGGUUCGAAGGCGAUCAGAUACCGCCCUAGUUCUGACCGUAAACGAUGCCAACUAGCGAUCCGCCGAUGGAAAUUAUAUUGCCUUGGUGGGGAGCUUCCCGGAAACGAAAGUCUUCCGGUUCCGGGGGAAGUAUGGUUGCAAAGCUGAAACUUAAAGGAAUUGACGGAAGGGCACCACCAGGAGUGGAGCCUGCGGCUUAAUUUGACUCAACACGGGAAACUCACCCGGCCCGGACACUGUGAGGAUUGACAGAUUGAUAGCUUUUUCAUGAUUCAGUGGAUGGUGGUGCAUGGCCGUUCUUAGUUCGUGGAGUGAUUUGUCUGGUUUAUUCCGAUAACGAGCGAGACUCUAACCUACUAAAUAGCUGGUACAUAAUUUACGUGUAUACAGCUUCUUAGAGGGAUUUGCGGUGUUCAGCCGAAAGAAAUUGAGCAAUAACAGGUCUGUGAUGCCCUUAGAUGUCCGGGGCUGCACGCGCGCUACACUGGCAAAAUCAACGUGCUUGUCCUACCCCGAAAGGGGCGGGUAAACCAUUGAAAAUUUGCCGUGAUUGGGAUCGGAAAUUGCAAUUAUUUUCCGUGAACGAGGAAUUCCAAGUAAGUGCGAGUCAUCAGCUCGCGUUGAUUACGUCCCUGCCCUUUGUACACACCGCCCGUCGCUGCCCGGGACUGAGCCAUUUCGAGAAAUUUGGGGACCGUUGAUUUAAUUUUUCUAAAUUACUUUGAUGGAAACCAAUUUAAUCGCAGUGGCUUGAACCGGGCAAAAGUCGUAACAAGGUAGCUGUAGGUGAACCUGCUGCUG